RNAcentral lists this long non-coding RNA (2366 nucleotides) under Homo sapiens (human). Its description in RNAcentral is "HSALNT0059036". The record is from RNAcentral. Lineage: Eukaryota; Metazoa; Chordata; Mammalia; Primates; Hominidae.
AACCCAGGCACAGGAAGGGCUGACUGUAUGUGACCGGGAGUGGAGGGGGAUCUAUAUAAAUAUUUCCACAAAAUAGCAAAGGGUACUUGGGAUUGGGAGCAUGAACAGAAAUGAAAACAAACCAUUAUAAAUUUAAAGAUGACUGGUUAUCACUUAAAUUUAGUGUCUACAGCUAUUUAUUUAUAAAAUGGUAAUUGUGUUUUAAAACUUUCAAUGGCAACAAGUUACAACAGUAACUUCAGAAUAGCGUUCACUUGAAAACAUUGGGUGAAUGGCCUCUAUAAUUUUUUUAGCUGAAAUGUAUACACCGCCACGCAGUGAGGAAACUUGACUUUAGCACCCUUUUGGUAUUUUUAAUAGAAAAAACAGUGGAGAAGAUUUUCACAUGUCUAGAAAGGUAACAUGUUCAACUUAGGUUUGGCCAAUGCUGAUUCUGAGGACAGUACUACACCCGCAAGCUUCCAAACUACUUCCUGAUUCAUUCAGAUUUUCAUUGGAGAGCUGUCAUCCUGCUACUGACCUCAUUCAACCCAGUUCGGAGUGAGAGAUCAGCGGAUUACCGCGCUAGAGUCAAGAAAACUUUGCUUUUGACUUAUUUACAGCUAGUCACAAUUGAGUGAAGUAUACUCCUGUAAACAAAUUUGGAUUUCUCUCUCUCAAUCUGAUUUCUCCAGAAUGUGGAAACUAUUUGACAUGAGACUUCACAACCUGCUAAAAAUGAGCUUUUCUAAUAAUGUGGGACUUACCCUUCUACAAGUAAACCAUCCUAGUCAUGAGGGAUCAGAUGAAACCUGAGACCAGAGACUCAUUUUCUUCUAAAAUGAUUUCUCCAAAGGAUUUUAAAAAGAAAAAGGUUAAAAUGUGAAAGGAAAAUAAAUCUUGGGACCCCCCAAAUCUCUAAGCUAAAGGGAAAAGUCAAGAUGGGAACUGCUUAGGGCAAACCUGCCUCCCAUUCUUUUCAAAGUCAUCCCUCUGCUCACUAAGAUAAAUGCAUAUCUUACUGUUUCCUUUGGAAAGGCUAAUCAGAAACUCAGAAGAAUGAAACCAUUUGGUUUUUCUUUUAUCUACCUAUCACCUGGAAGCACCCUUCCCACUUCAAGUUGUCCUGCCUUUCUGGACUAAACCAAUGUACAUCUUACGUACAUUGAUUGAUAUCUCAUGUCUCCAUAAAAUGUAUAAAACCAAGCUGUGCCCCCACCCCCUUGGGCACAUGUUGUCAGGACCAGGACCUUGUGAGGCUGCAUCAUGGGCACGUGUCCCUGACUUUGGCAAAAUAAACUUUCUGAAUUGACUGAGACCCGUCUUAGAUAUUUGGGGUUCAUACCCGCUUGGUACUGUGUAGUGAAUGAGUUCUCACAAGAUCUGGUUGUUUAAAAGUGUAUGGCACCACCUACCUGUCUCUCUUCUUCCUGCUCUGGCAAUAUAAGACAUGCCUGCUUCUCCUUGGCCUUCCACCAUGACUGUAAGUUUCCUGAGGCCUCUCCAGAAGCCAAGCAGAUGCCAGAAUCAUGCUUCCUGCACAGCCUGUGGAACUGUGAGCCAAUUAAACUUCUUUUAUUUAUAAAUUACCCAGCCUCAGGUAUUGCUUUAUAGCAGUGCAAGAAUAGACUAAUAUAAGUGUUACAGAUAUUGAGUAGGUAAAAAUCAAUAGGAUUUAGCAGUUGGACCUAGAGACGCAGGAACUGGGGAGAUUUUUUUAAAGAGGUGAUUAGAAGAAUAAUAUUGUCAUCAUGGAAAUUAGAAAGUUAGGUUUAUUGGUGAAAAGUUGGUGAAUAAUCUUCUAGAUAUUUUGAGUUUAAUGUACUAAUGAGGAACAAGUGGAGAUCUCCAUCAUGCACUUGGAAAUUUAGGACUGGAGCUGGGAGACAAGUGGGGCCAGAAAUAAAGGUAUGCUCCUUCUGCUCUCAACCCACCAUGGCCGUUUAGUGGGAUCAGUAGAAUCCCUGCAAGUAAGUGUCUGGAUUUAGCAAAAUAGCAUGGAAGAACAAACUGAUGCCAGAACCUACGAACUGACAGCAUUUAAGGGGUGGGAGGGAAAAAGAAAAAAGCAGAUGUGAAAAGAGAUCAGGAAACUUAGGCAAGUCAAAUAAGAGAAAAUUAUUUCAAGUGUGAACUUCCGUAUAUAACGUCUAUGAUUUAGGCCCAGUUUAUAUCAAGAACUUAAGAAAGAAAAUUGGAAAAAUAAAUAGGGCUUUAUGUAUUUUUAGGACUUAUGAUGAUGAUUAUGAUAUAGAAUGAAAUAAAGUGUGGGUCAGGAGCAGUGGCUCACGCCUGUAAUCCCAGCACUUUGGGAGGCUGAGGUGGUGGAUCACAGGUCAAGAGAUCUAAAUCAUCCUGGCCAGCAUGGUGAAACCCAUCUCUACUAA